GCUCAGGCGUCGACAAGGGCUCGUCCAAAUCCGCCGAGCAGGAGCGCCGGAAGGGGAUCGCCUGGACCGAGGACGAGCACAGAGAAGAAGGAAAAUGAUCACUAGAAGGCUUAAAUAAUUCAGGUUCCUCCUUUCCAGGUUCUCUGAUUCUCUCUCAAGAUCCCAUCUUGCUGCAUAAUCUGUGGAAAGAAGAUCACAACGGUGGCUUGCCCGAGUUUCACCUCUAAGCUUUGAACUUGAAGCUGCAUUGAAGUUGGCUAGAUAUUUGUGCAGGUCCUGCUCCCUGGCAUCUCGGGCUAUCGCUGUUGGCAUGGCGGUCUCAUCACCAUCAGGUUCAGGGUUCGAAGAAAAUGAGCUGAGUAUGUGUUUCCGAUUUUUGAGAAAAAGAUCAAAACAUUUGUGUGCAUAUCAGGAGUUCUAGGAGGACCUGCUUUGGACUUGCGGCCGUGUAGUAGGUCCAUACUUAAAGGAAGUAAGAACAAUUUUAUUUUGCUCUCUGGGACAUUGUGGUUUCAGCUACGAAUUUUCUUUUCAUCUGCUUAUCUAAUUAUCUUCAUUUCUUUACUAACGAAGCGCUUACCUAAAUAAUCUCUUCCACUGUGAUUUGAGUCUGCAUUUUUUCUAGGAUGUCCUUUGCAAUCCUGAAGCUGGCAUGAAAUUAGGAUAUUCACCAACAACCUCCCCUACACUCCUGAACUAUCACUUUACAUUCUCUGAACUAAUGCAGAAGCUGGGCUGAAUCUAAUCUGACUGGUGUGAAAUUAUAUUUCCGUCAAGGCAUUAUGUACCUAAUACAAUGAAGAGGUAUUCAAAAAACUUUCCAAAACACAUGAAGUAAAGUUUCUGACGGUAUCAGAACCUGAUGAGCUGCUAUUAAGAUCAAACCAGCAGAGUAAAGUUUUAAAUUUUUAUGUUUUACAAGAUUUUCUAAAUAUUAAAGUUUUAAAUUUUUAUGUUUUACAAGAUUUUCUAAUUAUUCUUAGUUAUUUCUGCCCCUAAUUUGCUCCAUAAUUCACUAAUUUUACAAGAAUCUAAUCAUUUGGAUUUUCACCAUGGAGCUCAUUUUGUACAUUGCUCGGAACAGAAGUUGCCAAAUGCCAUUAAACUUCCAUCAUUCUUUAUUUGUAGAGCCCCUAAAGGAGGCCUAAUUAGUAUAUGUGAUAUACAUUGAGACCAUAAUAAAAAUGCAGCUCAAAUCAAUACCAGCCUUGAAUAUGAAGCAAUCCAUUAUCUUUAUUCUAUUACCAUGGUAGCUCAUUAAUUUCAGAUUUAGUUGCAUAUUAUUUUAUUUAUGAGCUAUGUAUGUAUUGCUGCAUAAGAUGGAAAGCAAGGUCAAACGUUAGCUGGCAUUCUAUUCGUUACACUCUUUUUGAACUAAAAAAAGUUAGUUGUUUGCCAGUCACCGGAAAAUUUCAGGUGGAUGACAAGAAAACUAUGUAGAGGUAGGCAGCCCAACUAAUUAGUCAUUUGGAUUUACUUAGGUUUCUUAAUUUCAGCAGGUUUGUUCUCUGCCCCAUAUCCUUUAUUUACCGACAUCAAUAUAUAUUAUGGGCAUAGGAAAGUGGUAUGUCGACCAUAAGCUUGUGGUAAAUAGGCUGGCUAUGGAUUAAAAAUGAACUUGAGUAAAAGAAAUAUAAAAUGAAAAAGGUUGUCCAGCUCAAUAUAACCAGUUAUACCAUUACGAGUUCUUCAUUCACAUAACAAGGGUGUGAACGUGUUCUCUGUCUAUGUGAACGUGUUCUCUGUCUAUGUAGAUUAGUUUGUUGGUAGAGUUUGCAGAUCUGUAGCAAACAAUAUAUUUGGAUGGACUAAAGAAAACGAGUUUAUUUUAGUAUCAAUUGCUACAUGCUCUAUAUAUUUGUGGGGGAGCUUAGAAACGCAUAGGAGAAAUACAUUAGUUUUAGAAACACAGCCGCAAACAAACUGUUACAUAUCUAUCUGUAACAUAAGAGAGUGUACCAUUUUCAUUUACAUUUUGUUGUCUAAUUACCAUUGAAGAACUGAAUCCAAGGAUACCGGUUGUUCCUAUAUUUCAUUUUGUAAUGACUAAGUCAUGUGUGUUCUUCAUUUAUAGCUUCGUCAGUUAUAUAUUUUUAUGCACGAUUAAUAUAGUGAUUGCCAAAUCUUUUACCAAAGACGGGAACGCAUGCCAAGUCGGGCUCCUGGUUCACAAAAGUUCUCUAUGUAUAUGUCAAUGUUGAUACCUUUGACCCUUAGCUAAUAUGAUUAGCCGUCCAUUCUUACCAGGUUUAAGCUAUGGAUGUUGGUGAGUUUCCAAAGCUAUUAACAACACCAUACCCACCAAGGGCAAAGGGACAUUCUCUCCGACAACAUGUCAUAAACAUUAUUCCGAUGGACAAGUCCGACUAUACAACCAACAACCUUUGACAUGUCAAACUAAUGACAGUUUACAUAGUGUUUCA
Long non-coding RNA from Lolium rigidum, 2423 nucleotides. RefSeq lists it as uncharacterized. The transcript is spliced from 7 exons. The record is from RefSeq and is a predicted model, not a curated record. NCBI's taxonomy places the organism in Eukaryota, Viridiplantae, Streptophyta, Magnoliopsida, Poales, Poaceae.